CUGCACGGGUCUUCCCGGCCCCGGCCCAGCUGCCCGGCCCCAUCUAUGAGAAGUGCAUGGCACCACCUUCUGCCAGCUGCUUGGGGGAUGCCCAGUUGGAGGGCCCGACGGGGGACAACGAGUUGGAGCUGGAGCCGGGGACCUCAGCCCAGGAGGAGGGUGAGGGUGGGGAAGGACAGCCCCACAGGGUCCCUGGCCAGGGCGUCUAUGCCACCCCCCCCACCUCACUUGCAUCUCUUCUCCCCAGACCUGGAGGGUGUCGUGGAGGCCGUGGCUUGCUUUGCCUACACAGGC
Molecule: long non-coding RNA, 294 nt
Filed under: Capra hircus (goat)
Lineage: Eukaryota; Metazoa; Chordata; Mammalia; Artiodactyla; Bovidae
Description: lncRNA (ENSCHIG00010019935.1)
Source: RNAcentral